UACGAAGGGGGCUAGCGUUGCUCGGAAUUACUGGGCGUAAAGGGCGCGUAGGCGGAUAGUUUAGUCAGAGGUGAAAGCCCAGGGCUCAACCUUGGAAUUGCCUUUGAUACUGGCUAUCUUGAGUUCGGGAGAGGUGAGUGGAAUGCCGAGUGUAGAGGUGAAAUUCGUAGAUAUUCGGAAGAACACCAGUGGCGAAGGCGGCUCACUGGACCGGCAUUGACGCUGAGGUGCGAAAGCGUGGGGAGCAAACAGG
RNAcentral lists this ribosomal RNA (253 nucleotides) under uncultured bacterium. Its description in RNAcentral is "partial 16S ribosomal RNA". It matches the Rfam family "Bacterial small subunit ribosomal RNA", at positions 524 to 776 of the family's 1533-position model. The record is from RNAcentral.